This 99-nucleotide non-coding RNA is filed under the name Clostridium niameyense. Its description in RNAcentral is "Purine riboswitch". It matches the Rfam family "Purine riboswitch aptamer". From Rfam's summary of the family: Riboswitches are metabolite binding domains within certain messenger RNAs that serve as precision sensors for their corresponding targets. The record is from RNAcentral. Lineage: Bacteria; Bacillati; Bacillota; Clostridia; Eubacteriales; Clostridiaceae.
AUAAUAUGAAUAUUUGCUCUCAUAUAAAUCUGAUAAUAAGGUUCAGAUGUUUCUACCGAAUAACCGUAAAUUAUUUUCGACUAUGGGGGAUUCUCUAAA